CGAACGGUAGCACAGAGAGCUUGCUCUCGGGUGACGAGUGGCGGACGGGUGAGUAAUGUCUGGGAAACUGCCCGAUGGAGGGGGAUAACUACUGGAACGGUAGCUAAUACCGCAUAAUGUCGCAAGACCAAAGAGGGGGACCUUCGGGCCUCUUGCCAUCGGAUGUGCCCAGAUGGGAUUAGCUUGUAGGUGGGGUAACGGCUCACCUAGGCGACGAUCCCUAGCUGGUCUGAGAGGAUGACCAGCCACACUGGAACUGAGACACGGUCCAGACUCCUACGGGAGGCAGCAGUGGGGAAUAUUGCACAAUGGGCGCAAGCCUGAUGCAGCCCAUGCCGCGUGUAUGAAGAAGGCCUUCGGGUUGUAAAGUACUUUCAGCGAGGAGGAGGGCGUUGUGUUUAAUAACCACAGCGAUUGACGUUACUCGCAGAAGAAGCACCGGCUAACUCCGUGCCAGCAGCCGCGCUCAAU
RNAcentral lists this ribosomal RNA (471 nucleotides) under Citrobacter freundii. RNAcentral describes it as "bacterial SSU rRNA". It matches the Rfam family "Bacterial small subunit ribosomal RNA", at positions 63 to 525 of the family's 1533-position model. The record is from RNAcentral. Lineage: Bacteria; Pseudomonadati; Pseudomonadota; Gammaproteobacteria; Enterobacterales; Enterobacteriaceae.